This 96-nucleotide transfer RNA is filed under the name Methylobacterium iners. RNAcentral's name for it is "tRNA-Tyr". Lineage: Bacteria; Pseudomonadati; Pseudomonadota; Alphaproteobacteria; Hyphomicrobiales; Methylobacteriaceae. The record is from RNAcentral.
CGCCAUCAUGGCCGAGACGGUGAAGGCCAGCGCCUUGUAAUGGUGCGGGCGGUAGCCGAGGAAGCGGGUGCGCGGCUCGGCAUCGCGGAUGGCAAC